UUCUAUUGAUAUUGAAGCUAUUCAAAAUGACUAAGUUUUUUGUCAUGCCAACUCUUGUCCUUUUCAUUAUUUUUUCAAUUGUAACCCUGACAUGUCAAGCAGGCCAAUUAUGUACCAUAAUGAAACCUGAUCCUUCUUAUACUUGUGUCUAUGAGCAGUGUGAUCAAUGGUGCUCAUCUUAUAGUGGUUGGGCAAGAUGUGCGCCAGACGGAGGAUACAUGUCUAAAGCCAGAUGUUUUUGCACAUAUCCAUGUUAAGUCUAUAACAAAUAUAGCACAAUGCUCAUAAAUUAAAUGUUAAAUGUAAGAGCAUAUCAAAAUAAAUUUAAUAAAAUUAUGCAUUGAUAUUUUUCAAA
This is a long non-coding RNA of Vicia villosa (hairy vetch), 355 nucleotides long. RefSeq lists it as uncharacterized. The record is from RefSeq and is a predicted model, not a curated record. The transcript has 2 exons. NCBI's taxonomy places the organism in Eukaryota, Viridiplantae, Streptophyta, Magnoliopsida, Fabales, Fabaceae.